GAUGAACGCUGGCGGCGUGCCUAAUACAUGCGAGUCGAGCGAACAGACGAGGAGCUUGCUCCUCUGACGUUAGCGGCGGACGGGUGAGUAACACGUGGAUAACCUACCUAUAAGACUGGGAUAACUUCGGGAAACCGGAGCUACUACUGGAUAAUACUUUCAACGGGUGGUUGCAUUGGGAAAACAGGCUUUGCUUGUCUGUAUUAGUGGGUUCCGCGCCGCAUUAGUUAGUUGGUAAGGUAACGGCUAACCAAGGCAACGAUGCGUAGCCGACCUGAGAGGGUGAUCGGCCACACUGGAACUGAGACACGGUCCAGACUCCUACGGGAGGCAGCAGUAGGGAAUCUUCCGCAAUGGGCGAAAGCCUGACGGAGCAACGCCGCGUGAGUGAUGAAGGUCUUCGGAUCGUAAAACUCUGUUAUUAGGGAAGAACAAAUGUGUAAGUAACUAUGCACGUCUUGACGGUACCUAAUCAGAAAGCCACGGCUAACUACGUG
Molecule: ribosomal RNA, 497 nt
Filed under: uncultured bacterium
Lineage: Bacteria
Description: partial 16S ribosomal RNA
Rfam family: Bacterial small subunit ribosomal RNA
Source: RNAcentral